CGCGGGAUGGAGCAGCAUGGUAACUCGUCGGGCUCAUAACCCGAAGGUCGUAGGUUCAAUCUACUCCCGCAACCA
This 75-nucleotide transfer RNA is filed under the name Anaerobacillus sp. HL2. RNAcentral describes it as "tRNA-Met". It matches the Rfam family "tRNA". Rfam says of the family: Transfer RNA (tRNA) molecules are approximately 80 nucleotides in length. Their secondary structure includes four short double-helical elements and three loops (D, anti-codon, and T loops). Further hydrogen bonds mediate the characteristic L-shaped molecular structure. tRNAs have two regions of fundamental functional importance: the anti-codon, which is responsible for specific mRNA codon recognition, and the 3' end, to which the tRNAs corresponding amino acid is attached (by aminoacyl-tRNA synthetases). tRNAs cope with the degeneracy of the genetic code in two manners: having more than one tRNA (with a specific anti-codon) for a particular amino acid; and 'wobble' base-pairing, i.e. permitting non-standard base-pairing at the 3rd anti-codon position. The record is from RNAcentral. Lineage: Bacteria; Bacillati; Bacillota; Bacilli; Caryophanales; Bacillaceae.